RNAcentral lists this ribosomal RNA (254 nucleotides) under uncultured bacterium. RNAcentral describes it as "partial 16S ribosomal RNA". It matches the Rfam family "Bacterial small subunit ribosomal RNA", at positions 524 to 776 of the family's 1533-position model. The record is from RNAcentral.
UACAGAGGAGCCAAGCGUUGUCCGGAUUGACUGGGCGUAAAGCGCACGCAGGCGGUCGCGCGCGUGGGGUGUGAAAUCUGGCCGCUUAACGGCCAGGCGCCAUCCCAUACGGCGCGACUGGAGUGAUGCAGAGGUCGAUGGAAUUGCCGGUGUAGUGGUGAAAUGCGUAGAGAUCGGCAGGAACACCCAGGGGGGAAACCAGUCGACUGGGCAUCUACUGACGCUGAGGUGCGAGAGCGUGGGGAGCGAACCGG